CCUACGGGUGGCAGCAGUGAGGAAUAUUGGUCAAUGGACGAGAGUCUGAACCAGCCAAGUAGCGUGAAGGAGGACUGCCCUAUGGAUUGUAAACCUCUUUUAUAAAGGAAUAAAACGUGGCACGUGUGCCUGGUUGCAUGUACUUUAUGAAUAAGCAUCGGCUAACUCCGUGCCAGCAGCCGCGGUAAUACGGAGGAUCCGAGCGUUAUCCGGAUUUAUUGGGUUUAAAGGGAGCGUAGAUGGGUUGUUAAGUCAGUUGUGAAAGUUUGGGGCUCAACCGCAAAAUUGCAAUUGAUACUGGCAGUCUCGAGUACAGGUGAGGUAGGCGGAAUGCGUGGUGUAGCGGUGAAAUGCUUAGAUAUCGCGAAGAACCCCGAUUGCGAAGGCAGCAUAC
RNAcentral lists this ribosomal RNA (394 nucleotides) under uncultured bacterium. RNAcentral's name for it is "partial 16S ribosomal RNA". It matches the Rfam family "Bacterial small subunit ribosomal RNA", at positions 338 to 729 of the family's 1533-position model. The record is from RNAcentral.